UGGGGGUGAAAGGCCAAUCAAACCGGGAGAUAGCUGGUUCUCCCCGAAAGCUAUUUAGGUAGCGCCUCGUGAACUCAUCUUCGGGGGUAGAGCACUGUUUCGGCUAGGGGGUCAUCCCGACUUACCAACCCGAUGCAAACUACGAAUACCGAAGAAUGUUAUCACGGGAGACACACGGCGGGUGCUAACGUCCGUCGUGAAGAGGGAAACAACCCAGACCGCCAGCUAAGGUCCCAAAGUCAUGGUUAAGUGGGAAACGAUGUGGGAAGGCCCAGACAGCCAGGAUGUUGGCUUAGAAGCAGCCAUCAUUUAAAGAAAGCGUAAUAGCUCACUGGUCGAGUCGGCCUGCGCGGAAGAUGUAACGGGGCUAAACCAUGCACCGAAGCUGCGGCAGCGACACUAUGUGUUGUUGGGUAGGGGAGCGUUCUGUAAGCCGUUGAAGGUGGCCUGUGAGGGUUGCUGGAGGUAUCAGAAGUGCGAAUGCUGACAUAAGUAACGAUAAUGCGGGUGAAAAACCCGCACGCCGGAAGACCAAGGGUUCCUGUCCAACGUUAAUCGGGGCAGGGUGAGUCGACCCCUAAGGCGAGGCCGAAAGGCGUAGUCGAUGGGAAACAGGUUAAUAUUCCUGUACUCGGUGUUACUGCGAAGGGGGGACGGAGAAGGCUAUGUUGGCCGGGCGACGGUUGUCCCGGUUUAAGCAUGUAGGCGGAUGUUCCAGGUAAAUCCGGAACGUUAUUAACGCUGAGGUGUGAUGACGAGGCACUACGGUGCUGAAGUGACAAAUGCCCUGCUUCCAGGAAAAGCCUCUAAGCAUCAGGUAACAUCAAAUCGUACCCCAAACCGACACAGGUGGUCAGGUAGAGAAUACCAAGGCGCUUGAGAGAACUCGGGUGAAGGAACUAGGCAAAAUGGUGCCGUAACUUCGGGAGAAGGCACGCUGAUAUGUAGGUGAAGUGGUUUACCCAUGGAGCUGAAAUCAGUCGAAGAUACCAGCUGGCUGCAACUGUUUAUUAAAAACACAGCACUGUGCAAACACGAAAGUGGACGUAUACGGUGUGACGCCUGCCCGGUGCCGGAAGGUUAAUUGAUGGGGUUAUCCGUAAGGAGAAGCUCUUGAUCGAAGCCCCGGUAAACGGCGGCCGUAACUAUAACGGUCCUAAGGUAGCGAAAUUCCUUGUCGGGUAAGUUCCGACCUGCACGAAUGGCGUAAUGAUGGCCAGGCUGUCUCCACCCGAGACUCAGUGAAAUUGAACUCGCUGUGAAGAUGCAGUGUACCCGCGGCAAGACGGAAAGACCCCGUGAACCUUUACUAUAGCUUGACACUGAACACUGGUCCUUGAUGUGUAGGAUAGGUGGGAGGCUUUGAAGCGUGGACGCCAGUCUGCGUGGAGCCAUCCUUGAAAUACCACCCUUUAAUGGCUGGUGUUCUAACGUGGGCCCCUAAUCGGGGUUGCGGACAGUGUCUGGUGGGUAGUUUGACUGGGGCGGUCUCCUCCUAAAGAGUAACGGAGGAGCACGAAGGUCAGCUAAUCCUGGUCGGACAUCAGGAGGUUAGUGCAAUGGCAUAAGCUGGCUUGACUGCGAGCGUGACGGCGCGAGCAGGUGCGAAAGCAGGUCAUAGUGAUCCGGUGGUUCUGAAUGGAAGGGCCA
This 1650-nucleotide ribosomal RNA is filed under the name human gut metagenome. RNAcentral's name for it is "bacterial LSU rRNA". It matches the Rfam family "Bacterial large subunit ribosomal RNA", at positions 816 to 2444 of the family's 2925-position model. The record is from RNAcentral.